This 560-nucleotide ribosomal RNA is filed under the name uncultured microeukaryote. Its description in RNAcentral is "SSU rRNA". It matches the Rfam family "Eukaryotic small subunit ribosomal RNA", at positions 1 to 565 of the family's 1831-position model. The record is from RNAcentral.
AGAGAUUCUGGUUGAUCCUGCCAGUAGUCAUAUGCUUGUCUCAAAGACUAAGCCAUGCAUGUCUAAGUAUAAAUGUUACACAGUGAAACUGCGAAUGGCUCAUUAAAACAGUUAUAGUUUAUUUGAUAAUCAAACUUACAUGGAUAACCGUGGUAAUUCUAGAGCUAAUACAUGCUGUUAAGCCUGACUUUUAGGAAGGGCUGUAUUUAUUAGAUAACAAACCAAUAUUCCUCGUGUCUAUUGUGCUGACUCAUAAUAACUGAUCGAAUCGCAUGGACUUUGUCCGCGAUACAUCAUUCAAGUUUCUGCCCCAUCAGCUUUCGAUGGUAGUGUAUUGGACUACCAUGGCUUUAACGGGUAACGGAGGAUUAGGGUUCGAUUCCGGAGAGGGAGCCUGAGAAACGGCUACCACAUCUAAGGAAGGCAGCAGGCGCGUAAAUUACCCAAUCCUGAUUCAGGGAGGUAGUGACAAGAAAUAACGGACCGGAGCCUAUGUUCCGGGAUUGCAAUGAGUAGAAUUUAAACCCCUUUACGAGGAUCAAUUGGAGGGCAAGUCUGGU